UACGGAGGAUGCAAGCGUUAUCCGGAUUUAUUGGGUUUAAAGGGUGCGCAGGUUGUUUGAUAAGUCAGUGUGAAAGUCUGUCGCUUAAUGGUAGGAUUGCCAUUGAUACUGUUGGACUUGAAUAUGAUGAGGUAGGCGGAAUGUGUAGUGUAGCGGUGAAAUGCAUAGAUAUUACACAGAACACCGAUUGCGAAGGCAGCUUACUAAUCCAUCAUUGACACUGAGGCACGAAAGCGUGGGGAUCAAA
RNAcentral lists this ribosomal RNA (247 nucleotides) under uncultured prokaryote. RNAcentral describes it as "partial 16S ribosomal RNA". It matches the Rfam family "Bacterial small subunit ribosomal RNA", at positions 524 to 772 of the family's 1533-position model. The record is from RNAcentral.